CCCAUACCCCGAAAAURUUGGAUCGUACCCUUCCCGUACUA
This 41-nucleotide transfer RNA is filed under the name Rhinoceros sondaicus (Javan rhinoceros). Its description in RNAcentral is "partial tRNA-Met". Lineage: Eukaryota; Metazoa; Chordata; Mammalia; Perissodactyla; Rhinocerotidae. The record is from RNAcentral.